This is a non-coding RNA of Cordylochernes scorpioides, 4575 nucleotides long. The record is from the annotation of a GenBank genome assembly. NCBI's taxonomy places the organism in Eukaryota, Metazoa, Arthropoda, Arachnida, Pseudoscorpiones, Chernetidae.
GGUUUUACGAGCUACUAACCAAAAGUUAUGAUUUUUUAGCCCAAGCGCGAUGUCAGGUGGCAAGGGACCCUAGGAUCUGGCAGCAGGAGAUGUGUCGCAGGGGUAAUGGAAACGUUGGGCAAGCAGGGGAACAGCGCCAGGUUGCAGUGAGGCAGGAGCCUUGAAUUGGCCAGGAAUCCAGUAGAAGGUGGCAGAUGGAAUUGGAGGCAGAAGGUCCUUUAAGCCUAGAACUUGAGGGCCCUAGACUUCAGGAUGGGGCAGCUUGAGGCUCUCGCCUCGUGCUUGUCAGGAAGGCCCUUGGAGCAGCAGUUGGCACAUUUGGAGGUGCGCUGGUCAGCAAUGGAUGGGCAGGCGCGGCCUUCAUGGCCGUCUUGACCGCAGUGGAAGCACUUAGGAGCUCUGGAGCAUUGGGCAGAGUUGUGACCGAAGCCACAACAGCGGAAGCAGACGCGGGCGCGGAUGGACUCCUCGAAGUUGAGGAUUACUCCAUCCACCACGAUUCUCCCGCGAACACCCAGGGCUCUAAAGGUCUUGAUGUCCACCUCGAGGAAGGCGGUGCAGGUCCCGUUUCUGGGUGCAGAACGGUGCGCCAAGUGUACCACCUUGUCCCCAGGAAGUUUUCUAACAGCAGCGGUUUCCAGGAAGGUCUCCUCAAUUGUGGAGUUGGAUGUCUCCUCAUCCACUUUGAAGAGGCAGAUCCGUGGCAGGAUCUCCUUCUGCUGGCGGACCUUCAUUCCAUUCAACUUGCUGGCCAGGGAGGUCGUCACCUCAGGGAUGGUGUCAGGAUUACUGGAGUGGAGGUCCAGCUUCCCCUUGGUGUGUAGGGAGGCCCAAACGCCUUGGGGGAGAGUGUGGGCAGCGCGGACAGCUUUUAGCAUCUCCCUUGGGUCAGCCUGUGGGUCAUCAGAGAUGACCACUGUGUGGGCCGCCGAAUUUUCUCCGUGGAGGAUCACUUGGGCGGCCGCAGGCUUGGAUACGGGGGAAGGCGCAAGUUUUGAAGGACCAUUCAGGUUUGUCCUCUUUGCAGGCGGGUUGGGAGCUUCAGACUGCUUCCUUUUGGUUGGAGCAGGAGCAGGCAAGGUGGAGGCAGGCUUCUUGGCAGGGAGAGCAGCAGGAGCAGGAGUGGCGGGCUUUAUUGGGUCAGUCUGGGAGCUGGUUUCCUUGCAGGAGGGAGCAGGGCAGGUUUGAGUGCCGCGGCAAGCAGUCUUGGGCUUGUUGGCCUCCUCAAUUUCAUCCAACUCUGCGAAGGACUUGAGGGUGUCAGUGAGGUUCUCUACUUCGGUAGCAAGGGCCUUGAUCAUUUCAGUCCGCGAGGCGAUGUAGCGGAUCAGGUCCUCAUGCAGGGAUUUCAGGGCAGGAUGGCCAAUGGAGCUCAGGAUGCUGCAGUUGCGUGAGAUCACCAUCUCAUCUUCCCACUCCAGGUCGGUGAUGUUCACGAUGGGCUUGUAGGCCUUCUUUUUCUUCUUGGCAGGAUUCAUGUAUGCCGACUAAACGACCAACGGGGAAGAACAAUAUUAUUCAAUUGUUACGCCUUCUACAUGCUUUAGGUCAAGCAUUCUAAGGCAGAACUCAUCAUUGGGUGUCGCCAUGGGCCCGCUGCGAGGAAGGGCCAUGGAGAGGGGUGGAGAGGCGCAGACUGGGCGCGCAAGCGCCCCGAGGAGGAAGAGGGCGGUAGCACGGUUAGAGAGGGAACCAAGGAAGCACCAAGUACAGCGCCAGGCUCCAAGCAAGUCUGGCAGAUUGCAAAUUUACCUGUUUUUUUUUUUCCCCCCCCAAUUUAUUUUAUUGUAAAAAAAAGUACAAAAAUUAGGUAGGUAGCAGAGGGGGUGGAAUUAUAUACAAAGGGAGCAAACAAGGCAUCAUAAAGCAGCAAGGGUGAGGAGGGAGGAGGGGUAUGUACAGAACAAGAAAAGAAAUGAAGGGAGGGCAGAUUAAAUCAAGGAGGAGGGAGAGGGCAAUUAACAAUAUAAAUGAAAGAAAAGCAUCUAAUGGGAAUGGGGGAAAGGGGUAUUUACAAAAGGUGGAAGCAGGAGAGGGAGGAAACUGGGUAUUACCAGGAAGGGGAGGGGGAAGGAUAGUGGAGAGUGGGAUUGUUUGUGGUUCAGGGAGUUGUGUUGGGUGUGUUGGUGUCUGUCUAGUAGGUUGGGGGGUGAGUGGUUGGGAAGAGGAGAGAGGUGGGUGAGGGUUGUGGGGGAGAGAGGGGGGUUCUAAGUGGAGGUGUCACUGUCGGAGCUAGAUUGGGGGAUGUUGGAGGGGACGAAUCGAUUGGAAUGGGUGGCAAAGGCGAGGGCCCAGGCUUUGCUGGAAGAGAAGAGCUGAGGGAGGGAAGUAGGGAUGAGACCGAGGUUGGUUAGGCAAUUUUGGAAAAAGGUAGCGCGGAGGGAGUCGAGGUCAGGGCAGUCAAAGAAAAUGUGUUCUAUAGUUUCGGGAGCUUGGUUGCAGUGAGGACAGGUGGGGUCAAAGGGGGGAGGGGUCCUCCUAUGAGGGUUGGCGGCUAUGAAGGUGUGGCCGGUGAGAAGACCGGUGGCAAUGGCAGAGCUUGGUAGAAGAAAGCUAUGGGAGGAGGAGAGGGAGCUGGGGGUGAGGCCGAGUCUGAGAAAGAAGCUGGGCCUGGCCGAGAUGAAUUCGUCUUCCCAAAGAGACCAAAAGUGAUGGGAGAGGAACUUGUGGUGAGUAGUUUUGGAAGCAAGAGCGUAUUUCGGCGGGAGAGAGGGGGCGAUGGUGGCUCCUUUUGCUAACGAGUCAGCUAGGCAGUUGCCGAAGUUAUCGGAGUGACCUUUGACCCAGUGGAGGGUGAGGUUGCGGGAGGGGAGGAGGGAGUAAAGGAGGGCUUGGCACUUGGCAACGAGAGUGUGGGAAAGACAGGGCAGAAAGGAGAGAGAGACAGUCGGAGGAGAUGGCGGUGGAGAGGGAGGGGGGGAGGCUGCUAAGAUCGGUAAGGGCGGUUUGGAAGGCGAAGCAUUCCGCCUGAAAAAUGGAGCAGUGGGAGGCCAAGGGGAUGGAGAGGUCGAGGGGGAGGGGGAAACGAGAGGAGAGGGGAGAAGAGGAGAUCCUGGCUAUGCCGGCCCCGACGCCGCUGCGCGACUUGGAGCCGUCGGUGUAGUAAUCGAAGUCGGGAGCGGAGGGGGGGGAGGAGCGAGAAGGAGAGGUCUGGGAGGAGAGGAGGGGAGGGGAAGUGGAAUGGGGGAGGGGGGGGUUUCGGGAGUGAAGGGGAGAGGGUCGGGGGAGCGAAGGAGGGAAGAGAGGAGGAGGACCUUGAGGUCCAGGGGAAGGACGCGGAGAAGGGCAAUGGCGACGUGAGGGUAGGGACUGUGCGGAACCCCCAAAUGGCGUGGAUGCAGAAUUUGCGUUGGAUGGAACGGAGGCUUGCUUUACCGACGCGGAGUUUGACUGCUUCGCACCAGAUGGGGGCGGCGUAGGUGAUGGCUGGUUCGACGACGCCGCUGUAGAAGCGUCUCCUGGCGAUGUAGCCGAGCCCGGAGAUGGCGUUUAAAUCCUUUUAUUUUAUACGGCGUUGGAGCAUUGGGAGAUCCUGCCGAGGAGGGAUGAGGCCUUAUCGCAGACUCGGUAGAGGUGAGGGGUGAAGGAAAGCGAUCGUCGAAAGUAACGCCCAAAAUGGUAAGGGUUUCGGGACAGGAGAGGGGGGUGUUGUCUAUGAGGAGAUGGGGAGGGUUGCAGUAAAUAGGGAGGACCAGUGACUUAUGUGGGGUGAGGGAGAGCUUGUUGUCCAGGCACCGAAGGCUCGACUGACAAUGGUUAUAGCUAAUUGACCAAAUGGGAUGGCCUUCUAGCUCUACUACUGGCUGAAAUGAAUCAGACUGACCGCGGCAAAGGGUACAGGUAACCCGGGGAGAUACAGCAACAUCGCAAUAUCCCCCGCGACAACACCCAAGGAACCACCAAGCCCACCACCCAACGCAACGCACGCAGGGGCGGCGCGAAACGCAUUUCCAACCAUCCGCGAAGAGACGCGCGGCGCCCUCAUGGCACCCCUGGAGAAUGUGAUGCGUGCUAAUGCUGUAAGAACAUAGGUGAGUAUCCCUGGGUCAGAGGGAAAGAGAGGAAGAGGUUUCAAGUUAAAAAAGGUGAGCAAUUGUGAAAAGGUUGAUUAAAAAAAAAAAAGAAAAAGAAUUACUAAUAAUAAUAAAAUAAUAAAAUAAAAAUGGCAAUAAUUGAGUAAAUAAAUAAGGAGAUAAGUGAGAAUAAUAAAAAGAAGAAAAAAAAAUUAAAAUAAUAAUAUUAUUAAUAAUAAAAAUAAAUAAUUUCAGAGUACAAAAUCUGAAAGUACUAAAUCGCAUCUUUUGCCAACCAAUGAAAAUGAGCGGCCAUCAAACCACAAAACCCCCGGUUGUGACGUCGCGCAAUUAAUCGACCAAUCAGCGUGCGGCGUCCAAUUUCGACCGCGGCCCUCUAACCCUUGGGUGAUUAGAGACGGCGCUUGGUGAAAUCCCGACCACAAGCCAGCUGGAAAAUUAAAAGUUUGACAUCGCAUACAUAGUUCGUGAUACACGCAUAUGCAGGUAAAACACUGAAGUUUAGGUGGAAUUAGAGUCGGAAACCUCCUCUGAUUCCACC